Non-coding RNA from Sus scrofa (pig), 3670 nucleotides. The record is from RefSeq and is a predicted model, not a curated record. NCBI's taxonomy places the organism in Eukaryota, Metazoa, Chordata, Mammalia, Artiodactyla, Suidae.
CUCCGUUGGACUUUGUAAGGAAAUUUGGGGAUUGUGUGAAAACCAGGAUCUUACCUUCUAAAGGACAACACGAUGGUUUCAGCAAAAAGCUCAUUCACUGAUUAAAUAUGAGAAAAGCACUAGGUGGACUAUUAACCGUUGACAAUUAAUCAGACUUCAUCCAUCUGGUGGCCAAGGCCAGCACUUGUACCCAGCCAUGACCAGGGAACAAUUCGGUGCCUCUGAGCCACCGCAAGGCCUGCCAGCAAGCUCUGCCCAGAUUGCCGGGGAAGGAGUUGUGGGUGUGUAUUAUUUAUGUUUCCUUUCAAAACAAACCCAACAAAAGAACAAAGCUCCCCUUCUGCUGGCAACGUUCACGGCCCCGACAUAUGGUGCUGCCGGCUUCUUUCUGCUGAGGAGUGGGCGUCCAGGUUGUGCAAAGCCAAGGAAUAAAAUCUGAAAGUAUAACAUUCAGUUUUGGAAGAAAGAGGAAAUCCAGCACAUGUAUCUGAAAACAAGCACGGCCUCCUUGCUGAGUCCAGAUGUAUUUCCAGAGACCGCAUUGUCUCCUGCAAGGAUGCUCCAUCGCCCUGGGAAGUGGCUUUGCUACCGAGCAGCUUGGAUGGAGGCCUCAUAGCAACGUGAGCAUGUGCAGAUCCCAGGACCUCAGAGUUGUGGGAGAACCACCCCUUAAGAGCAGGGAUGGGACCCAGACCCGCCAGCAGGCACUGCAAGCUUCCAGUUCGAGAGGCAAAACUGAGCAACCGUCCUCACUGAAAAGCUAAUAGAACUCCUUUUUACACUUUAAAACACUAAAAAUCAUUCUUAGCUCCCAGGCUGUACAAAACGAGCGUCAGGCCGCCGUUUGUAGUAUCCUCAGCAGCCUCCCCGCGUGACACUAUCCAGACAUUGCUUAAACAGCUUCUCAGCCACAGGAUGCUCACCACCUCUCAAAGGCACCAGAUCUGUUCAGGAGCAGCAAAAAUGUGGAAAUCAUCCUCUAUGACCUAUUUCCUUUUGCCUGGCAGCCACGGAGGAAACUUUUCUGUGAUGGUUCUAUGGAAAUAAAUGUCUGCAUCGGCGCUAUAAGGCAGAGGAGCCCCGAGGACCUGCUGGAGUCUGCAGAGUUCUUGGCCCUUAAGCUAAGUGGGCCUGCACCCCAGUGUUCUGUGAAUUCUGGUUUCUUUUUUCAGUUUUUCAUCCUGAUUCCUAUUACAGAGACAUCACCCCUGUCCUUUCUCACUGUCAUCUGCUGCUACUGAAGCAGUUCUCUCCUUCUAAUUAGCUGCUUCUAAUCUUCCAGGGGACUAAAAAUGAGCCCACCAUGAGGGGGCAGACGCCAGGACCUCUGGGACCUUGGGCGAACAGCGAUGGAGAAGUGAGAUAGAGAAUGGGGAGACAAAGUCAGCUUUUCCAGCGUCACUCUAAGACGUGAGCUGCCUGCUGCAGCUUCCAGGCCAACGUGAAUUGUCCUCAGUGGCUCAGCAGCAACACCCUAAAGUGUUUUAAGACCUUGUGAAGUGAUCAGGUGGGAAUUACCCAUGCUUCCAGAAUGCAGAAGCCUUCAAUUGCAAGCCGUGGAAGCACAAUUCAAUUUGGAUGGAACCAAGUAAUGUCGUCGGUUGACUAAUCCUUUGAUUCAAAAGAGUUACAAGGGUCCAGUAAGGGCAAAGCACUUUGGGGGUCCCUUGAGAGACAGGCCCAUUCGCUGCCCUCAGCAAGCUCAAGUCACAUGGAGAAUUCCGCAAGUCACUGUGGUUCUCUUUCUUUUCGGAAUGGAAAUACAGAGAAGAAUACAUUUGGAGCAAAGAAUGGACUGCAUCCUUUACGAAACAAAUGAAGGCACCUGAAUAAUUGCAUUGCAGCCUCAGCAGUGCAAGUGGUACCAUAUGGCCGUUUUAAAGUGGUGGGCCCUCCUUUAUAGAAGAUCCAAACCCACUUCAGGACUUAAAAAGCAAAAGUGCAUUAUCUACGGUGCAAAAGGCCACAAAAGAAUAUGAAAUGCAGGCAAGCCUCCCGCAAGCCCAGCUGCUGUCUGCUCCACCUUCCUAAAUGCUCAUGGGCUGAGUUGACCUAGAGAUGACCACUCUUCUGUCAUCGCCCAUCUGGUUCUGCCCACGGGAGUGCUUGAUGCUGCCUGGUCUCAGCAGAUAAGAUGACCUGACUUGGUCAUUCUACACCGUCUUGCAUCCGAAAAGCUGGGGAGGGUGAGUGUGAGCAGUGGGGCAGCCUGUGUCCUGCCUCCUGGAAGGACUAGUUUUCUUGUCGCUGAUGAAUAAGAUCAUCUGUGUACACACUGGGGACUGAAGCUGUAGAUAACUGAGCAGAGCUGACCUGCCUGACAGCCUUGUCCCUGACCACGACAAACUCUGACGUUCCAGUAUAUGUAUGUCAGGAAAGACAAAAUGUUUCUGCCACAGAGUUUAAGCUGAGUGAAUAAAAAUGGAGUGAGCAGAGGAUGGAUGAAGGUAAAAGAACCACAUGACUUCAGUGUGUUGUGACACUUCAUGUGUGAAUGUCCCCAAACGCUUCUUUGAAAUUCGCCAGAUAUUAAGGGAUUAAUAAAUUAUCUGGGGACAUGGUGUCUGUGGGAAAGGAGGAACUCAUAAGGGCCUGAUGCACCCUAUCGCUUGAUAGGAAAGGAGGGGUGUGUCCUGUAUACCACCAUCAACAUACACCGCACCUUUCCUCCUCCCUUUGCGGUGUCAGUGUGGGAUAGACAAAUCUGAGCUUGUAAACAACUGCAGCCUUUGUUUCGGGGACUCUGGACCUUUCCAGUAUUUUUGCUCCUUAGGUCAGGCUGCUGACCUGGGCAAUGGGUGGGGCUGGGUGCCUCCAGAUGGCAGCUGCUGACAGCGUCUGCCCCAGACUGCGUGGCCGGCUGUGCCAGAUCCCAUAGAGCUGCAGGUUAAGCCAAGCAGAUUCCCAGGCUCCACCCAGACCUGCCCCACCAUGGAUUCUUAUUCCAGCUGAAAUGUGCAAACUAUUGUCUGAUGAGAAACCAACAUCAAAAUUAUCUGGUGAGAUUUGAAAAUUACUGGUUCCCAGAACAAUUGAUCAUAAUUCCGCAGGAAUCUGAGAUUCUAAUUUGCAGCCAGAGUUGAGAAUGGAGCAGUUCAUGACAACAAGCAGUAAGUCUUCUCCAGGCGCUUUAGGGGAGUAAGCUUGGGAGAUACUCCAGGUCCCUUUCCUGGUUCCUCCCUUAGGCCCUGAGGCAGAUUUGGGACAGGACCCUGGACUUCUUGUGACCCAAUGUGGGGCCUAGCCAGGCAUGGCAUGACAAAGCCACAGGGUUCUUUCUGGGAAUGUCUGGUUUCUUCCCUGGGGUCUGGAGAGGGUUUUCCAGCUACCAAGGACUUUCUCACUGGAUGGAGGAAAAGUGGCGAGGCUUCUAACUUCCUCACAUGGCUGGAGAGCAAGGAGACCAGUGAGAAUUAAGUUUCUGGGAAGAUGUGUGAACUGAAUUUGAAUAAUAGCAUUGGGAUGCAGAAUUUGUUUUUAACCAAAGUAAAUUUUUUCUUUUGUCUUGCCUGCCUGAAGUAUAAUAGCAGGAAUAAAUUCUUUCACAGAAAGGAAAAUUAAAAGACUUUGAUUUCGAAAGUAAAUGCAAGUGGUAAACGUAAAGUGUCAGUCCCAGAGAGACUCACCUUUGGAAUCAUUAUCUUUGACGUUUAAAACCCUGAUAUUCUGG